GUCCAUGCCGUAAACGAUGUCUACUAGCCGUUGGGGCCUUUGAGGCUUUAGUGGCGCAGCUAACGCGAUAAGUAGACCGCCUGGGGAGUACGGUCGCAAGACUAAAACUCAAAUGAAUUGACGGGGGCCCGCACAAGCGGUGGAGCAUGUGGUUUAAUUCGAUGAUACGCGAGGAACCUUACCUGGCCUUGACAUACAGAGAACUUUCCAGAGAUGGAUUGGUGCCUUCGGGAACUCUGAUACAGGUGCUGCAUGGCUGUCGU
This 263-nucleotide ribosomal RNA is filed under the name uncultured bacterium. RNAcentral's name for it is "partial 16S ribosomal RNA". It matches the Rfam family "Bacterial small subunit ribosomal RNA", at positions 793 to 1055 of the family's 1533-position model. The record is from RNAcentral.